RNAcentral lists this ribosomal RNA (460 nucleotides) under uncultured bacterium. RNAcentral describes it as "partial 16S ribosomal RNA". It matches the Rfam family "Bacterial small subunit ribosomal RNA", at positions 338 to 795 of the family's 1533-position model. The record is from RNAcentral.
CCUACGGGAGGCAGCAGUGAGGAAUAUUGGUCAAUGGACGAGAGUCUGAACCAGCCAAGUAGCGUGAAGGAUGACUGCCCUAUGGGUUGUAAACUUCUUUUAUAUGGGAAUAAAAUGUUCCACGUGUGGGCUUUUGUAUGUACCAUAUGAAUAAGGAUCGGCUAACUCCGUGCCAGCAGCCGCGGUAAUACGGAGGAUCCGAGCGUUAUCCGGAUUUAUUGGGUUUAAAGGGAGCGUAGGUGGAUUGUUAAGUCAGUUGUGAAAGUUUGCGGCUCAACCGUAGAAUUGCAGUUGAUACUGGCAGGCUUGAGUACAGUAGAGGUGGGCGGAAUUCGUGGUGUAGCGGUGAAAUGCGUAGAGAUCACGAAGAACACCGAUUGCGAAGGCAGCUCACUGGACUGCGACUGACACUGAGGCUCGAAAGUGUGGGUAUCAAACAGGAUUAGAUACCCUAGUAGUC